CAAAAGCGUAUAUUAAAGUUGUUGCAGUUAAAAAGCUCGUAGUUGAACCUUGGGCUUGGCUGGCCGGUCCAUCUUUUUUGAUGCGUACUGGACCCAGCCGAGCCUUUCCUUCUGGCUAGCCUUUUGGCGAACCAGGACUUUUACUUUGAAAAAAUUAGAGUGUUCAAAGCAGGCCUUUGCUCGAAUAUAUUAGCAUGGAAUAAUAGAAUAGGACGUUAUGGUUCUAUUUUGUUGGUUUCUAGGACCAUCGUAAUGAUUAAUAGGGACGGUCGGGGGUAUCAGUAUUCAGUUGUCAGAGGUGAAAUUCUUGGAUCUACUGAAGACUAACUACUGCGAAAGCAUUUACCAAGGACGUUUUCAUUAA
This 364-nucleotide ribosomal RNA is filed under the name uncultured eukaryote. RNAcentral's name for it is "partial 18S ribosomal RNA". It matches the Rfam family "Eukaryotic small subunit ribosomal RNA", at positions 592 to 976 of the family's 1831-position model. The record is from RNAcentral.